UACGUAGGGUGCGAGCGUUGUCCGGAAUUAUUGGGCGUAAAGAGCUUGUAGGCGGUUUGUCGCGUCUGCCGUGAAAAUUCGAGGCUCAACCUCGAACUUGCGGUGGGUACGGGCAGACUAGAGUGUGGUAGGGGAGACUGGAAUUCCUGGUGUAGCGGUGAAAUGCGUAGAUAUCAGGAGGAACACCGAUGGCGAAGGCAGGUCUCUGGGCCACUACUGACGCUGAGGGAUGAAAGCUGGGGGAGCAAACCGG
This 253-nucleotide ribosomal RNA is filed under the name uncultured bacterium. RNAcentral's name for it is "partial 16S ribosomal RNA". It matches the Rfam family "Bacterial small subunit ribosomal RNA", at positions 524 to 776 of the family's 1533-position model. The record is from RNAcentral.